RNAcentral lists this long non-coding RNA (1832 nucleotides) under Panax ginseng (ginseng). RNAcentral's name for it is "long non-coding RNA (PGIN_LNC009883)". The record is from RNAcentral. Lineage: Eukaryota; Viridiplantae; Streptophyta; Magnoliopsida; Apiales; Araliaceae.
AUAUAUAUAUCUCACAUGUUGUAUACAUCAUUUUAGGGACAUGAUGUACAUUUCAUACAAGAAAAGACUUGUUGUUGGUCAUCAUCAAUUCAUACUUACUACCCGUUUUCUAACACAACAUAAUAUUUACUUGUCAACAUUUUUUUUCUAUAAAGGAAAAGUAGACUUGGUAAUACCUGAGAAUAACAGAAGCGCCUUGGGGAAAAUGAUACAGUAGUAGGGUAGGCCGGUGAUAUCUAUGGCAUUGCAGUGCCGAGUGUUUGUCCAUUUUGAGGUUGAUCAAACAAUCAUUUCUUUCAAAUAUGUUGACAUUGCACUCCUCUUCUUCAGUCCCACGAGAAACUAAAGAAAAGAAAACAAGACCAAAAAAAAUAAUAAAAACGUAAGAAUCGUUUUAUUAUCAUCAUCGUGGCAUCAAAGAGACAUUUUGUCAAAAAGAACAUCAUAUUAUUAGUAUUAUUAUAUUUACUUUUGCCACGUUUUCUUUAUCAUGACAAUAAAUAAAUAAAAAACAGUAUUGGGAUUGCCACGUAACGGAAAAGGACAAGUGUGGCACUAUCUAGUAUCUCAAUUGGUGAAAACAAAGCUCUCUGUAUUUCUCUCCAAUACAGAGCAGGUGGUUGUUAAGUCUCUGUAUUUUGUUUAUAAAUAGCAUUCCUCUUCAGAUAACAAAGAUUCCCUCUACCACUCACUUCUCUCCCUCCCUCAUCCUUUCUCACCAUCACCAUUUCUCUCUCUCCUCCUCUCCUCUCCCUCUAUUCCUACCUAAAAACUCCCGACUGCUCUUCUUCAUCUCUGUCAACCCACCAAGGCACCAACACAGGAAAAGCUGCCUACAAAACUUACAACCAAACAAAAACCCAAUUUUCAAACUCCAAAACUAUAAUCAAGCAAGCGCCCAUAGACGCUUAAUGGCUCUCAUUCCAACCUUAAUUCUGAGUCUCCAUAUGCUCCUCAUUUCAAAAGGUAGUACAAUAUCAGUACCUGUCAGUCUGUCACGUGUCAAUUCAAAUAUAUGAACACAUUUUUAUGAUUUACUGUAAUAUGCAGGUGUUUCAGGUACCACAUUUACAUUUGUAAACAAGUGCGACUACACAGUCUGGCCAGGAAUUCUAGGCAGUCCAAGUUUAGGUAGCACAGGUUUUGAGCUAGCCAAGGGAAGCUCUAGAUCCUUCCAAGCUCCAACAGGCUGGUCUGGCCGGUUCUGGGGCCGAACUGGAUGCAACUUUGAUGGGUCAGGUCAGGGCUCAUGCACCACUGCGGACUGUGGCUCAGGCCAAGUUGAGUGCAAUGGUGCCGGAGCCACUCCUCCUGCUACACUGGCCGAGUUCACACUCGGGUCAGGCAGCCAAGACUUCUAUGAUGUAAGCCUCGUGGAUGGCUACAACAUACAAAUGAUUGUUGAGGUGAGUGGUGGGUUGGGUCCGUGUGCAUCCACUGGUUGUGUCGAGGAUUUGAACCUGAAGUGCCCCUCUGAGCUGAGGGUGGAGGGUGGCAACGCUUGCAAUAGUGCAUGUGCAGCUUUUUCAACACCAGAAUACUGCUGCAAAGGCGCAUAUAAUUCACCAACAGCGUGUACACCAUCCGUGUAUUCACAGAUGUUCAAAUCCACGUGCCCUAGAUCAUAUAGCUACGCCUAUGACGACAAGACAAGUACAUUUACUUGUACAGGUGCAGAUUACAUCAUGACAUUUUGUCCAACCCACCCCAGGUAACAUUAUCUCUUAAAGGAAUCACAAAUUUAAAUUCUUUGCUUUUGUAGUUUGAAUUCUACAAUCAAUUAUUGAUGUUAACCUGAAAUUGGUUUCCUCUACAGUCAAAAAGCUUCAAAA